This 446-nucleotide ribosomal RNA is filed under the name uncultured bacterium. Its description in RNAcentral is "SSU rRNA". It matches the Rfam family "Bacterial small subunit ribosomal RNA", at positions 26 to 518 of the family's 1533-position model. The record is from RNAcentral.
AGAACGAACGCUGGCGGCAUGCCUAACACAUGCAAGUCGAACGAGACCUUCGGGUCUAGUGGCGCACGGGUGCGUAACGCGUGGGAAUCUGCCCUUGGGUCCGGAAUAACUCAGAGAAAUUUGAGCUAAUACCGGAUGAUGACGUAAGUCCAAAGAUUUAUCGCCCAGGGAUGAGCCCGCGUAAGAUUAGCUAGUUGGUGGGGUAAAGGCCUACCAAGGCGACGAUCUUUAGCUGGUCUGAGAGGAUGAUCAGCCACACUGGGACUGAGACACGGCCCAGACUCCUACGGGAGGCAGCAGUGGGGAAUAUUGGACAAUGGGCGAAAGCCUGAUCCAGCAAUGCCGCGUGAGUGAUGAAGGCCCUAGGGUUGUAAAGCUCUUUUACCCGGGAUGAUAAUGACAGUACCGGGAGAAUAACGCCCGGCUAACUCCGCGCCAGCAGCCGC